GAAAAUUUAGUUAAUAAUAUAAUAUUAGCUUGUCAAGCUAAAGUAACUUCCCUAGUAAUUUUCU
This 64-nucleotide transfer RNA is filed under the name Tetraclita kuroshioensis. Its description in RNAcentral is "tRNA-Asp". Lineage: Eukaryota; Metazoa; Arthropoda; Thecostraca; Balanomorpha; Tetraclitidae. The record is from RNAcentral.